Molecule: ribosomal RNA, 253 nt
Filed under: uncultured bacterium
Lineage: Bacteria
Description: partial 16S ribosomal RNA
Rfam family: Bacterial small subunit ribosomal RNA
Source: RNAcentral
UACGAAGGGUGCAAACGUUGCUCGGAAUUAUUGGGCGUAAAGAGCGCGCAGGCGGUCUAUCAAGUCAGAUGUGAAAUAUCCCGGCUUAACCGGGAGGGGUCAUUUGAAACUGGUAGACUAGAGUACAGCAGAGGAUAGUGGAAUUCCCGGUGUAGUGGUGAAAUGCGCAGAUAUCGGGAGGAACACCGGUGGCGAAGGCGGAUCUCUGGGCCUGAUCUGACGCUGAGGCGCGAAAGCUAGGGGAGCGAACAGG